This is a long non-coding RNA of Bubalus bubalis (water buffalo), 504 nucleotides long. RefSeq lists it as uncharacterized. Lineage: Eukaryota; Metazoa; Chordata; Mammalia; Artiodactyla; Bovidae. The record is from RefSeq and is a predicted model, not a curated record. The transcript has 3 exons.
GUCCUAUCCACUGGACUGCCAGGGGAGUCCCUUCAGCUCCCUAUCUUCAAGUCACUCCAGACAUGAACUGCUCCCACUGAGACCUGGGAGCAAAAUUAAUGUUGCUUUAAAUCACUGAACUUUAGCUUAUUGUUACUGGGCAAUAGGUGACUGAAACGCCCUCAGACUCUCACUCGAGGACAACAUGCUGAAUUUGACUGGAUGUCAUGUUGGGGAUGAGGACCCUUUGGCUUUGAUUAACCAUAGGUUGAGCCAUGAGGUGAGGCACCAGGUGGCUGGCACCUUGAUUGCAGCCUCGAGAGAGACCCUGAGGAGGGGCCCCAGCUAAGCCCUUGCCUGGACGCCUGACCCACAGAAACUGGGAGAUAAUAGGGCUGCCCCGGUGGCUCAGCUGGAGGCCAGAAGCCAGAGGAGUCACAGGAAUAUGCCUGCAAUACAGGAGUCACAGGAGACACUGAUUUCUGGGUUGGGAAGAUUCCCUGGGGGAGAGCAUGGCCAUCCACU